This 428-nucleotide ribosomal RNA is filed under the name uncultured Bacillota bacterium. RNAcentral describes it as "bacterial SSU rRNA". It matches the Rfam family "Bacterial small subunit ribosomal RNA", at positions 958 to 1385 of the family's 1533-position model. The record is from RNAcentral. Lineage: Bacteria; Bacillati; Bacillota.
AACGCGAAGAACCUUACCAGGUCUUGACAUCCCCCUGAAUAGUUUAGAGAUAAGCUAGGCCUUCGGGACAGGGGAGACAGGUGGUGCAUGGUUGUCGUCAGCUCGUGUCGUGAGAUGUUGGGUUAAGUCCCGCAACGAGCGCAACCCUUGAUGUUAGUUGCCAGCGAGUAAGGUCGGGCACUCUAACGUGACUGCCGGUGACAAACCGGAGGAAGGUGGGGAUGACGUCAAAUCAUCAUGCCCCUUAUGACCUGGGCUACACACGUACUACAAUGGCCGGUACAACGGGAAGCGAAGGAGCGAUCUGGAGCGAAUCCUUAGAAGCCGGUCUCAGUUCGGAUUGCAGGCUGCAACUCGCCUGCAUGAAGUCGGAAUUGCUAGUAAUCGCGGAUCAGCAUGCCGCGGUGAAUACGUUCCCGGGCCUUGUA